Molecule: ribosomal RNA, 492 nt
Filed under: uncultured bacterium
Lineage: Bacteria
Description: bacterial SSU rRNA
Rfam family: Bacterial small subunit ribosomal RNA
Source: RNAcentral
GACGAACGCUGGCGGCGUGCCUAACACAUGCAAGUCGAACGAGAAUCAUGGAACGGCGGCUUCGGCCAAAGGGAAGUGAGGAAAGUGGCGAACGGGUGAGUAACGCGUGAGAAACCUGCCUAUGCGUGUGGAAUAACACAGGGAAACUUGUGCUAAUACCGCAUAACAUGUAGCCUUCGCAUGUGGGCUACAUCAAAGAGCAAUUGCGCAUAGAUGGACUCGCGUCUGAUUAGCUAGUUGGUGAGGUAACGGCUCACCAAGGCGACGAUCAGUAGCCGAACUGAGAGGUUGAACGGCCACAUUGGAACUGAGAAACGGUCCAGACUCCUACGGGAGGCAGCAGUGGGGAAUAUUGGGCAAUGGACGAAAGUCUGACCCAGCGACGCCGCGUGAGGGAAGAAGGUCUUCGGAUUGUAAACCUCUGUUGUAAGGGAAGAAGAAAGUGACGGUACCUUACGAGGAAGCCACGGCUAACUACGUGCCAGCAGCCGC